GAAUGAAGAACGUAGUGAAAUGCGAUAAGUAAUGUGAAUUGCAGAAUUCAGUGAAUCAUCGAAUCUUUGAACGCACAUUGCGCCCGCCAGCAUUCUGGCGGGCAUGCCUGUUCGAGCGUCAUUUCAACCCUCAAGCUCUGCUUGGUGUUGGGGCCCUACGGUUGACGUAGGCCCUUAAAGGUAGUGGCGGACCCUCUCGGAGCCUCCUUUGCGUAGUAACUAACGUCUCGCAUUGGGAUUCGGAGGGACUCUUGCCGUAAAACCCCCAAAUUUUCUAAUGGUUGACCUCGGAUCAGGUAGGAAUACCCGCUGAACUUAAGCAUAUCAAUAAGCGGAGGA
This 339-nucleotide unclassified non-coding RNA is filed under the name soil metagenome. Its description in RNAcentral is "partial contains 5.8S ribosomal RNA, internal transcribed spacer 2, and large subunit ribosomal RNA". The stretch from base 3 to 121 matches the Rfam family "5.8S ribosomal RNA", at positions 36 to 154 of the family's 154-position model. The record is from RNAcentral.